This is a long non-coding RNA of Nothoprocta perdicaria, 122 nucleotides long. RefSeq lists it as uncharacterized. The transcript is spliced from 2 exons. The record is from RefSeq and is a predicted model, not a curated record. NCBI's taxonomy places the organism in Eukaryota, Metazoa, Chordata, Aves, Tinamiformes, Tinamidae.
ACAAGUACAKUGGAUGGGAGGAAAUACAGGAGGGGAAUCCAGCACCAGAUAAACAUCUGAAUCUGAAGUGUCUGAAUCUGAACCGUGCACAAGAGCYAUUUUUCACGUGGAAGACGUCCCUU